CCUAUGAAGCUUUACUGUAGCCUGGAAUUGGGUUUGGGCUCUUUUUGCGCAGCCUAGGUGGGAGGCUUUGAAGGUUCCCUUGCGGGGGGGCUUGAGCCAUCAGUGAGAGACCACUCUAAAAGAGCUAGAAUCCUAAUGGCGUCCCUUGAAUCAGGGCGCUCGACAGUUUCAGGUGGGCAGUUUGACUGGGGCGGUCGCCUCCUAAAAGGUAACGGAGGCGUGCAAAGGUUCCCUCAGGCUGGACGGAAAUCAGCCUAAGAGUGUAAAGGCAGAAGGGAGCUUGACUGCAAGACUUACAAGUCAAGCAGGGGCGAAAGCCGGCCUUAGUGAUCCGACGGUACCCCGUGGAAGGGCCGUCGCUCAACGGAUAAAAGUUACUCUAGGGAUA
RNAcentral lists this ribosomal RNA (388 nucleotides) under Microthamnion kuetzingianum. Its description in RNAcentral is "bacterial LSU rRNA". It matches the Rfam family "Bacterial large subunit ribosomal RNA", at positions 2090 to 2476 of the family's 2925-position model. Lineage: Eukaryota; Viridiplantae; Chlorophyta; Trebouxiophyceae; Microthamniales; Microthamniaceae. The record is from RNAcentral.